RNAcentral lists this long non-coding RNA (1532 nucleotides) under Aotus nancymaae (Ma's night monkey). Its description in RNAcentral is "lncRNA (ENSANAG00000039235.1)". Lineage: Eukaryota; Metazoa; Chordata; Mammalia; Primates; Aotidae. The record is from RNAcentral.
UGUGAAGACUUGCAGCCCGGCAUAUGGUCUGUUUUGUUGAACGUUCCAUGUGCACUUGAGAAAAAUGUCUGUUCUGUUGUUGGGUAGGUUGUUCUCUAAAUGUCACGUAAGUAAGGUGAGUAAGGUGGUUGAUAGUGCUGUUUAGGUUUUAGUGGUUUUCUGCUCUCUUGUUCUAUCACUUCCUGAGACAGGAGUGUUGAAGUUUUCAACCAUUUCUCCAUUCAUUUCUCGCAGCUUUUUCUUUGCUUAUUUUGAAGCUCUAUAGAUUGGUGUAUGUACUUACAGAAUUUUUAAGUCGUUAUGAUGAACGGAUCCUGUAUUAUUAUGAAUUAUCCUUUUUAUCUCUGAUAAUAUUACUUGUGUUGACGUUGACUUUGAUAAUCACAGAGCCACUCCACUCUCUCAUGAUUAGCGAUUGGUUGGAAUACCCUUUUCCUUACACUUACGUUUAACCUAGCUAUGUCUUUUUGUUUGUUUUUGUUUUUUAAGGGACAGGGUUUUGGGCCAGACGUAGUGGCUCACACCUGUAAUCCCAGCACUUUGGGAGGCCAAGGCAGGCGGAUCACCUGAGGUCAGGAGUUUGAGACCAGCCUGGCCAACAUAGUGAAAACUCCAUCUCCACUAAAACUACACAAAAAAAUUAGCUGGAUGUAGUGGCACAUGCCUGUAAUCCCAGCUACUUGGGAGGCUGAGGCAGGAGAAUUGCUUGAACCCAGAAUGUGGAGGUUGCAGUGAGCUGAGAUCACACCAUUGCACACCAGCCUGGGUGGCAAAGCAAGACUGUCUCAAAAAAAAGGAACAGGAUUUUGCUGUGUUGCCCAGGCUGCAGUGCAGUAGCAGGAUGAUAGCUCAUUGCAGCCUUGAGCUCCUGGCCUCCAGUGAUCCUCCCACCGUGGCCUCCCAAAGUGCUGGGAAAACAGGUGUGAGCCACCACCCCCGCCAGCCUCAGUGUCAUGGUGAUGUUCACUUUCAUAGCACGUGUUUCGUGUGUUUUUCCCUAGAAUGGAUGAUGAACUCGUUGUUGGACAUAGUGCGAGAUCAGACAUCUCCAGCUUCCCUUGUACAUCUGGCUUUUAAAUUUCUUUACAUCAUCACCAAGACUUGGGAAACCCGCUACAUGCUUUUGCUAUGGCUCUCUGUGACCUGCCUGAUUCCUUUUGAUUUUUCUCACCUUGACGUGAACCUCGUCACCCAGCCUGGGCAAACACGAAUGUCCAUAAUGGACCGUAUUCUCCAAAUAGCAGAGUUUUGUUAUGUUAGAAGUAGUGUGGUGAUGAAGAACCUUUUGCCCACCCUCAUUUACCUGUCUGCUGAGAGGGACUUCCAGGUCAAAGGGAGCACGGUAUGUGAAGACUUGACAGUCUGUGAUCGUCCUUAGAAAGCCUGCCUUGGACAAAAAGAUUUUCUAAGUGUAUCAUUUUGGGGAAGAAAAGUAGCUAAGACGAGCAUUGCAAACCUUUUAAGGCAGCCCUCCUAAAAAUAAAUCUAGCUGGGUGUUGUGGUUUCACGCCUGUAAUUCCAGCACUUUGUGA